Molecule: non-coding RNA, 2134 nt
Organism: Oncorhynchus mykiss (rainbow trout)
Lineage: Eukaryota; Metazoa; Chordata; Actinopteri; Salmoniformes; Salmonidae
Source: RefSeq, a predicted model, not a curated record
ACAUUCAGAUAACUUGUGACUAGAGACCAACGUUUUUCUGGGUCACUCAAGUCAUGUGGACAAGAAAAAUGCCAGGCCCCAUUUGAGAUGGAAAUAUAAUCCUGUGCCUAUCUCUUAUGAUGGACAUUUCUAUACAGGGGCGAUACAUUCUAUACCGGGCCGUCUAACUGUAAAGAAUAAAGACUUAAAGCAUUCACAUAACACAAACCAGAAAAUGUAACCGUGUUGUAUGUUUUUCUCUUAUAGUUUCAAGUUUCACACCGUCAUACCGUACUUUCUGCUUCUGUGUGGCAGCAUCCAGAAGUUCAACUCAAUCAUUGGCCUGCUCAUGUUCAAAGCCAAGUACAUGGAACAGCAGUUUGGCCAAUCAGCAGCCAGAGCCAACUUCCUCAUUUGUUAGAAAAUGUAGCUACAUGUUUCUCAAUCACCUACCAUCUUUAUAAACCAACUAUGGCCUCUCCGUCGCGUUUCCUUCUGGUCCUUUCUCAUUGUGAAGUCAAACUCUAUUGGUUGGAUUGGGCCUGAGGUUUAGGUCAGAGACAAGGGCUGUGCUUAGACAGGCAGCCCACUUAUGAUAUUUUAUCCAUUAAUUGGCCUUUUGACAUAUCACAUCAGAUAUUUUCGCAUUAGCUUCUUUUCAGAGCAUAUCAGAUUGGUCAAAAGACCAAAUACCAGGGAUGCAAACUAGUCACCUUUCGGUGAAUCAAAAAUAGGUAACAUGCAUGAUUCGAGUAGAGCUGAUGAGAAACGUUUGGGAGGGAGGUCUUUGGACCACUACUGGCUGUAAGCAAAUUACUGAUGCGCAUUUGGAGCAAUACUGGCUGUAUCCAAGGCUCAGUCAAUCAUUCACAUUACAACAGAAUGCAGCAUGUAACUGAAGAGAGAAGAGACAACUAACUUGCUAGUUACAGCAUCAGCGCUCGCUCUGGAAAGACAGCAGAGUGUGGAAAGGCCGUUUGCCAGUUACAGCAGCGCGUCCCCUGAACGAUAACGAAGAGGUAGCAGAGAAGCCUGACCACGGAGACUGGGGUGAGAAGGUGAUGAAGUGUACUUCAUGACCUGUAAUCGAAAAACAAUGGCAUUUGGAAAGUUUGAGAGUGUAACAGAGGCUGCUCCUGCUUGGCUGGGGAGUGGGACCCUGUGUGCUCAGACAAACUGCAUCACCUACAACUUCCCCUGCCUGGCAAUCUGCUCCAGCUUUACAGGAUACAGCAAGCACACGAGUGAUCUUCCUUUCCCUCAUCACAUGUCUCGGUGGCUCCUCCUACUUUUCAUCAUCGCAGUCAUUACACUUCGGGAGGGGGACAGCCCCCACACUCAUUGCUAAAGAUCGAACUUCAGACUCUCCCCAAAACAACUGAACCCCACAACAAACCGAAAGAGAUUUAAGGUGCACACCCCUAAAGAGGUAGCCAGAACAGGAUAUCUCCCUCCAAGCUCACAAAGACACAGGAGGAGGAACUAUCCAACACCCAGGGAGAGAGAACGAGUGACCUCAGUCAAACACAGACAGAAAGAAGAGGCGUUAGAUAGAGGGUACCCCAGAUGCCAUUCCUCCUGCUCAUGUGAGCAAGGAAAGAGAUGACAAGCCUUCUGAUCAGGCCAACAGGCAGGCCAAGGGAGAGGUCAUAGUGAUUCACACCCACAGAGAGAAAGACAACCCACACAACCUAUUGGCUGAGAUGAACCACACAGAGGUAGAGGCAGAGGGCCUUCAGGGCUAGCCAGUCAGCCAGCCCGCUCUGAUCCUCAAGUCAGUUGUAUUUAAAUUCAUGUUCAUUAAAGAUUUUUAUUCAAGAUUUGAAAAGUCCCAUUUACUUAAUGAUAUCUUUUCACUGUCUGCAACCCUCAAGAACCAGGGUGAGUCUGGGUCACCCUUUUACUGGGCAAACACAACUUGCAUAUCGUCAUAGACUAGGCCAAAAUGUUCAUCUUUUAACCUUGCUUGAAUAAAACAUGCAUUUUUUUAUAGUGCGCGAGAGUUGCGCUUUUUCCUUUUCUAUGAUGAUUAAAGGUUUUGGUUGCACCUCAACUCAACGUUGGUUGAGCUCCCUCCGUUUUUUGUUGUUGUCAAAUACUACUUUUUUUGUUUUGUUUACAUGUAGUAAGUAAAUUAUUAAAAGCAUUAAAAUUG